Molecule: ribosomal RNA, 480 nt
Filed under: uncultured bacterium
Lineage: Bacteria
Description: bacterial SSU rRNA
Rfam family: Bacterial small subunit ribosomal RNA
Source: RNAcentral
GACGAACGCUGGCGGCGUGCCUAACACAUGCAAGUCGAACGAGGUCCAUCCUUCGGGAGAAGACCUAGUGGCGAACGGGUGAGUAACACGUGAAGAACCUGCCCCGAAGACCGGGAUAACCCUCCGAAAGGAGAGCUAAUACCGGAUACCCCCACCGAACCGCAUGGUUUGGUGAGGAAAUGGAUUCCGCUUCGGGAGGGCUUCGCGGCCUAUCAGCUAGUUGGUGGGGUAACGGCCCACCAAGGCAUCGACGGGUAGCUGGUCUGAGAGGACGAUCAGCCACACUGGGACUGAGACACGGCCCAGACUCCUACGGGAGGCAGCAGUGGGGAAUCUUGCGCAAUGGGCGAAAGCCUGACGCAGCAACGCCGCGUGGGGGAUGAAGGCUCUCGGGUUGUAAACCCCUUUCAGCAGGGACGAAUCAAGACGGUACCUGCAGAAGAAGCCCCCGGCUAACUACGUGCCAGCAGCCGCGGUAAU